GACGAACGCUGGCGGCGUGCUUAACACAUGCAAGUCGAACGGAAAGGCCCUGCUUUUGUGGGGUGCUCGAGUGGCGAACGGGUGAGUAACACGUGAGUAACCUGCCCUUGACUUUGGGAUAACUUCAGGAAACUGGGGCUAAUACCGGAUAGGAGCUCCUGCUGCAUGGUGGGGGUUGGAAAGUUUCGGCGGUUGGGGAUGGACUCGCGGCUUAUCAGCUUGUUGGUGGGGUAGUGGCUUACCAAGGCUUUGACGAGUAGCCGGCCUGAGAGGGUGACCGGCCACAUUGGGACUGAGAUACGGCCCAGACUCCUACGGGAGGCAGCAGUGGGGAAUAUUGCACAAUGGGCGGAAGCCUGAUGCAGCAACGCCGCGUGCGGGAUGACGGCCUUCGGGUUGUAAACCGCUUUCGCCUGUGACGAAGCGUGAGUGACAGUAAUGGGUAAAGAAGCACCGGCUAACUACGUG
Molecule: ribosomal RNA, 468 nt
Filed under: uncultured bacterium
Lineage: Bacteria
Description: partial 16S ribosomal RNA
Rfam family: Bacterial small subunit ribosomal RNA
Source: RNAcentral